RNAcentral lists this long non-coding RNA (606 nucleotides) under Fukomys damarensis (Damara mole-rat). RNAcentral's name for it is "lncRNA (ENSFDAG00000031624.1)". The record is from RNAcentral. Lineage: Eukaryota; Metazoa; Chordata; Mammalia; Rodentia; Bathyergidae.
CAACCUUUAAAUACCACUGCAGGAGGCCCCGUUUGGGUGUGUCCAUUCACCGAUAAGGCGCCACCUCUGGUGUCUGCUUUAUCUCUCACCCUGUGCACCUGAAAGCUUUGCUUGCCUGACACCAACAGUCAAAUGAGCAUCUCAAGUUUGCUUUUCUGAAAAGGGUUAGGUUACAGGGCACAUUAAGGUAGCUGUUCUCUCCUGCUCUGUUUCUUCUUUCCUUAGGCCUGAGCAAAGGGGGCCCACGUCUCCAUCCCUAGGAUCCUGCACAGUGGCAGUGCUUAUGGAACACAGACUGCUUACGAUCAUGCUACACUUGUCGAUGUCCUGUGCAUGUCCCAAAAUGUUCCUGGCUGGCUCGUAUCCCUGCCUGCUACUCAGGACCCCCAGCUCCUUCUUGAUCCAACUUUUCCUGCCUCUGCAUGCACGCGGAGCAUAUCAUGCAGGAAGCCAUCCAUCCAGGAGUCCCAGAGCAGUAUCAACCUCAACUUUUGUGACAAGCCCAAUAACUUGCUUCUUGUAAUAACAAUUUCUGAGAAACGUGGUUGUUAAGAUCUUCCAGUAAAUAACUUCAGAGAGUGGGUUCAAAAUGAACUCACCAAGCAC